CUUGGCUCUUCUUGCUAAGUGCAUUGUGGGCCAAAGUCGUAUGGGCCAUUCACUUUUUUAAUUCCCUGGCUGGGACAUAUGGAAGGCAAAUAUGUAGCAUAAGACCGAGACUUGAUUAACAAAAGAAAAAACUGAAGGUGUCACUCACGGGAGAUAAUAAAGUUCUGUUCUGGCAGGAUAACUGAUUGCUAGACGACCCUUUCAUUAAAUUAAUAAAGCAGCCUCAAACAAAUGGGGCACUAGUGGCGAAGAGCUUUCAAACGAUAGGAGAUGCAACACAGUGGGGUUGGAACUGGGCUAGUUACCAGCGACAGUGGGAGGCUUUAUCCAUCUUAAGGGCAGACAGUUGUCGAUAAUGACCCUCCGUUCUCAGUCAUGAGAACCAGAGAGGAGUAUGUUGAUGCUUUGGGACGUACAGCCUUGCACUAAUGAAGGUUUUGUGUGGAAUAAGUGGUUACCUCCACGGCACGGGUUAAUCAUUUAAUUUUGGGUGGAAAGAGUUACAAGGACCUAAAAUCCAGCUGCAAAAGAAGAGGUAUUGCCAAUUUGGAAUGAAGAAUGCUCUUUCGGUCAACUAGUAUGGUUAAUUAUGGUGUAGAAUCCCCUCACAGGAGGACCGAAUUCGUUAAUGGAGCUAAGAGACAGAACACUUAACAUCAAAUUUGAUGUCUCGAUUGGAGAUAUAUCAAUUUUGGUUUUGCAAAACUAAAAACUUUACUAAUUAUGUAGCAAAACCAACGGUACAUGAAGACAAUUGAUUGACAGGCUAUUAUAUUAUUUGUUGUUGUGUUUUGAAGAUAGGAACACUACUACACCAGCACGGAGAAGCACCCUGAAACCAAGAAAAUGAUCCUGGUUGGAGAAGUCUUCCAGUUUCAAUUGGAUACUUUGGUAAGAUGUAAUUUAAUUACUCAUUUGCUUGGGAUCUCUGGUUGGCUGAGGUUACAUUUGCACGCUUUUACUUUAAAUUUGGCCCACCCUCGGUACUUGCUAGAAAUAAGCCUAGAGUGUCAUGACUCAUCUAUGUGACAACUGCAGCAACUUUGAAUCUUUCAGCCCGUUAUGCUAACUUUUGUUUUCUGAAAAGGAAGUAUAGUUAUGUUGAUAGAUCCAGCAUAUCAACAAUGUGAGCCUCACAUUGUGAGGCUAUGAGCCACAAAAGAAAACUCCAGCUCUUUUAAACCAAGCAAAAAUACUGAAGCAUUUCAUCUGGUUUUGCUACUACUCUGAUGACUUAGAGUCCUGUGAACGACUUUGGUGGCAUAGUCAUCACUUUUCUAGCGCCAAUGUAAAGCUUGCUGCAGUACGUAUGUACAAGAUGGUUUUGAUCAUCUACAACUUUUGAUAUACUCAUACACACGUACAAUAGAUCAAGUUUUUUGGAGCCCUAUCGAAUGCCAAAAAUGCUGAAGAGUUUCUGUACAGCAUUAUGGCCCCAUUUGACGUUGUUGUGAGGUAUGGAUGAUAUCUCGGGUCUUGGAUUCAAAUUUGAGACACAUUUGGUUCUUCAGUAUUGUCAUUAUUCGCCCUGGCCAAUAAUGGUUCUGCCAUAUGGAUUUCUUGAUUUAAUGCUGGUGGUGGUGGCUCGAUUGCAUCGAUUAUUAUCUUGCGCGAAUCAGGGUCUUCCCAAUCUUCACACAAAGUCAUCGUCUUGUCAGUCUUGAAGCAUUCGAGAACCCUAUCGGGACCAGGUUGCCACACGAUUACCCCAUCACUUUCUUGCAUUAAUAUGAACUUAAACUUGAUGCAUCUUCCUAUCGGUAAGUCCUAUUAAUGAAUAAAUCCAACCACUUAAAUAAUUUCCGGAUGAUUAUUAUAAGUCUAGCUAGACAAAGUUAAAAACUAGUGUACUUUGAUUCAACACAA
Long non-coding RNA from Erigeron canadensis, 1866 nucleotides. RefSeq lists it as uncharacterized. The transcript is spliced from 5 exons. The record is from RefSeq and is a predicted model, not a curated record. NCBI's taxonomy places the organism in Eukaryota, Viridiplantae, Streptophyta, Magnoliopsida, Asterales, Asteraceae.